Long non-coding RNA from Canis lupus familiaris (dog), 3036 nucleotides. RefSeq lists it as uncharacterized. The transcript is spliced from 3 exons. The record is from RefSeq and is a predicted model, not a curated record. NCBI's taxonomy places the organism in Eukaryota, Metazoa, Chordata, Mammalia, Carnivora, Canidae.
AACCCGAUACCAGAUGUCCCUCUGCUCUUUGUGUGGAUUGUAUCUCCCGGGCACCUGCCCUAACUUGGGCUCCAAUACAACUCUCUUUAGAAUCCCUUUAGGGUUUCUGAAAAGUUUGGUCACUUUGUGUCAACAGAUACAUAAAUAUGCAGAUUUGCAAUAUGUCCAAUGCAAUGUCAUGUGAUGGAUCAUUACGCAUCUGCUUAUGAUGCUUUUAGAGUUAAGUGGAAAAGAAAAAUAGCAGUUUCAAUUCUUCACUAACAACUAGCCCCACACUCUCUUUAAUGGGACUUUUAAACUCUCAAUGUUUUAGAAAGUAAUUGGUGCCCAACCUGAACACAUUAGUGGCAAGAUGAUUGGUCUGCCUUGGAAGUGCCAGCUCAGCAGAGGAUAGUUGACAAAUCUGUUGCUAACUUCCCGCAAGAUGGCCCUUCUAUGAAUAAACAUGCUCAGUUGCAAAUACUUGGCAGGCAAAAGCCUGUGUAAGACGAUCGUGAACCCCACCCCCCCAUUUUCAGUGGCAGUGCAAGCUUCUCUGUGAAGGAAUCCUACUGCUUCCACAACCCACUGCAUAGUGACCUCCACACCUUUGCUCAGAGGCAAAGAGAGACAGUAUGUAGCAGUGAUGCACCGCGAGCCCGGGAGUGCCUCUUGGAUGCCCGACACAUCAAGUGGGCACAUCAAGUGGGCCAUCAGGUACAUGGGACUUGAGCUGAUGUGAGCGGUCUGAAUUAGAGCCUAUCAAUAUGAGAAUUCCAGGAAGAGGUUAAUUUGGAGAAAAGUGUUCUCUAAAGCAGCCAUUCUAAGAAGAGUAUCAACUGUUUCUUGCUUAUGAAGACUUAAUCGCUUGGCCGAGAGCUGGAGAGGGCCAGAGAGUACAAGUAGGAGGAGUGGAAGAGGAGAAGCAGGCUCCCCACUGAGCAGGGAGCCCAAUGCCGAUGCCGGGCUGGAUCCUAGGACCAUGGGAUCACGACUUGAGCCAAAGGCAGAUGCUUAACCAACUGAGCCACCCAGGUGCCCCCAGGAAUCAAUAUUUUUAAAAAGCUCCCUGGGUCAUCUGAUAUUGCCAAGCCAGGGAUGAGCUCUGGGGAAGCGCAGGUCUUAGAGGCUGGUUUGGUGCCCUGACCAAGCUUCAGUGUGAUCCUCACCUUGACAGACAUUGAACUUGGGUUUGCAGUGGGUUGAUCGUAAUUGAUCUGCUUACAAAGUUUGUAGGAAACUUACGUAUGUCAGCUUUUACAAUUACAAGGAGGGAGAGUCCUUCUCAGAGGUCAAAAUGCCCACGUUUCCUAUGCAGAACACAGGCAGAGCACCGGACACUUAAUCAGAUGGUUGCCUGCUAUUGAUUUGUGAAAUCAGAUCAAAGGGAGGCUCCCAAUGGCAUUUUUAUUCAGGCCACAGGCGGUGUGGGAAAUAAUUCUUUUAUGCCCCAGACCAAAUCUCCUUAACCUUGGCCAGAGCUAGAGAAACACUGCCAAAUUCUUGCUCUCAGACACUUUUUCUAAAGUCUAUGCAGACAAUCCCCUUUUUGUUUUUUCACAUGUUUAUUCUCUUUUUAAACAGGAUACUAUUUUACUAAAUUUCUAUUUUCUUCCUUGAAGUUGCAUUCCAUUCAUGCAUCUCUGGCCACCUAUGUCGCACUGCAUGUAUCCACAUCACCAGUAUCUUGGUGACUGCUUAGAUGUGUAACUUAUUUUCUAUCCUUAUGCACUGACCUGAUGGUCAACCUCAUGAACUUACAUUCCAGCAGGAAGAAAUUUGUAAUAAAUAUAUCUUAAGAACAAAAUAAAUAUAUAAGAUUGUGUGAGUACUUUGAAGAAACUGAAGUACAGCAAGAGGUAGACAUGAUUAGCACUGGGAGUUUGGCUGAGGAAGACUUCUUGUAGAUGAGAGAGCUAGAACCUCAUAAGUGCACUCUCAAACAGUGUGCGUUUCCAAGGUCAUGUAGAGCUUUGCAUCUCCACCAGAGAUACUAUCAUCGUUAAACUAACAGAGUCAGUAGAUGGUUUUGUAAAAUUUGUUAUGAGAAGCUAAUGGAGAAAAUACUCAUCUAGAUAGUCUGAAAUCUCUUCCAUCAUUAAACACAAGGAACAUUGGAUAAAUUGGAACAACUAUUUAUAAAUAUGCUAUUUUCAAGUGAAAUCUAUUUUUAAGUGAAGAUGUGAGCUUACAAUAAAGUAAGAGAAAUCACCAGUUAGCAAAAGUAAUGAGGGAAAUUAAAAUCAGUGAGGUCAACAUGAGACCUGAAGCUUCAGCUGCUGCCGGGAAGGGGUUUGGAUACUAAUCCCUGUGUAGGAACAGGAGAUACAGCCUUAAAGCCCUAGAGACAGGAAAUUGGAAUUCAAAAGAUAACAGGAAGCCAGGAUGAAGCUGUGCCUGAAUUUAAAAAUAUUUUUUAAAAAAAUCCAUUAGUUUUGGGUAGAGGUUUUUAAAAAGAAAAGAUAAUAUCCCUGAGGAUUUAUAGCUACAUAACUAUCUGAUGUUCAAAUUCAUUCCAUGGGCAAGAUCUAGGAAACUCCAAAUUCAGAUAAUAGCAUAAAAAGUAGCAUUUAGCUAGUGAUGCUCCUGGAGUAACUUACAAAAGCAAAUGCAAAGCCUCUCUUGAAGAACGUCCCCUUAGCAAGGGCUCUGUAGGGAUUUCCAGAGAUUCAAUUCCUAUGAAGGCAAGCUCAUAAUCUAAAACUGUAAAACAUAUGCGGAAACAACACUAUAAAAAUGAGUCACCAGAAGUAAUGUGUACAGUACAGAAGGUAGACUUAGAACUUUAAAUGCUAUAAUUCUUGAAUAGAAAUAAUUUUUAGAAAGAAGUUAAAGGAUUAAAUAUAUAUUUUAAAAAAGGUCUUAAGGAAAAAGUACAAGAGUCUCUGAAAAAAAGCGGAGGCAGACCUUGAAAACUGAACCACAUAGAACUUUUAGAAACAAAAAAUAUGGCAAUAACAGCUAAAACUCGGUGGUGAAAGUAUUUGCAUAUCACAUAUCAAAUAAAGGACUUGUAUCUGGAAUAUAUAAAGAACUCUCUAAAUCAAUGAUUGAUGU